Molecule: long non-coding RNA, 10923 nt
Filed under: Medicago truncatula (barrel medic)
Lineage: Eukaryota; Viridiplantae; Streptophyta; Magnoliopsida; Fabales; Fabaceae
Description: long non-coding RNA (MTRU_LNC003712)
Source: RNAcentral
UUCAAAAUUAAUCGACCUCUUCCAUCUUGCUACCCUCUGCAUCAGCAUCAGCUUCCUCCAAUGGUGGCAUGUCAGCAUCAGCUUCUGCUGCAUCCUCAUCAAUGCUAAGUCCAAGCUUGAGCAUCCUGUGAAUCCUGUUGCCAAAGGUGUUGGGCUCAUCAAGGCUGAAUCCAGAGGUAAGAAGAGCAGUCUCAAACAGCAAGAGGACAAGAUCCUUCACAGAUUUGUCAUUCCUAUCAGCAUCAGCACGUUUCCUCAGCUCCUCCAUAAUGGGAUUCUCAGGGUUGAUUUCCAUUGUCUUCUUGCUUGACAUGUAACCAGCCAUGCUGCUAUCCCUCAAAGCCUGUGCCUUCAUGAUCCUCUCCAUGUUGGCAGUCCAACCAUACUCACCAGUCACUAGACAGCAAGGAGAGUCCACAACUCGGUCAGAAACAACCACUUUCUCAACCUUGUCGCCCAACACUUCCUUGAUCACCUUGCAGAGGUUGUCAAAUUUCUCCUUCUGUUCAUCCAUCUUUUUCUUUUCAUCCUCGCUCUCAUCAAGUUUCAAACCUUCCUUAGUUGCAGAUACCAGCUUCUUUCCCUCAAAUUCCUUGAGCUGGCCAACAGCAUAUUCAUCUAUAGCGUCAACCAUGUAAAUCACUUCAUAUCCCUUCUUCCUAAGUUUCUCAAGGAAGGGGGAAUUCUCAACAGCUUUCUUGCUUUCACCGGUGAUGUAGUAAAUGUCAUUCUGUCCUUCCUUCAUCCUGGUAACGUAGUCCUUGAGGCUGGUCAUGUCAUCACCACUCUUGGUGGAGUGGUACCUGAGCAAAUCAGCAAGCUUUGUCUUGUUUUGAGAAUCCUCAUGGAUACCCAGCUUCAAGUUCUUAGAGAAGGCCUCAUAGAACUUGUUGUAGUCUUCCUUGUUCUCAGCAAUUUCAAAGAAAAGCUCAAGGCACUUCUUCACCAAGUUCUUCCUUAUGACCUUGAGAAUCUUGUUCUGUUGAAGCAUCUCUCUUGAAAUGUUAAGUGGGAGAUCUUCAGAGUCCACAAUACCCUUCACAAAGCUAAGAUACUCAGGCAUCAACUCCUCACAGUUGUCCAUGAUGAAAACACGGCGGACAUACAGCUUGAUGUUGUUGGGCUUCUUCUUUGUGUCAAAGAGAUCAAAAGGUGCUCUCUUGGGUACAAAGAGAACAGCCUUAAACUCCAACUGACCCUCAACUGAGAAGUGCUUAACAGCCAAAUGCUCUUCCCAAUCAUUGGUGAGACUCUUGUAAAAAGCAGCAUACUCAUCCUUUGUAAUCUCCUCGGGCUUCCUCAUCCAAAUAGGUUUUUGCUUGUUCACCAAAGACCAUUCAUUAGACACCUCCUUAAUCUUUUUCUUUUUCUUCUCUUCCUUUUCUUUCUCCUCAUCUACUUCCUCAACCUUACCCUCCUCUUCCUUCUUCUCUUCCUCAUCCUCAUCAUCAGAAAUCUCUUUCUCAAUAGUCUUCUCAACCCAAAGAGAAAUUGGAUAGCUGAUAAAUUCAGAAUGUUUCUUAACCAAGUCCUUCAGACGGCGUUCCUCAAGAUACUCAAGUUGAUCCUCCUUGAGGAUGAGAGUUAUCUUAGUUCCCCUGCCAAGAGCUUCGCCAGUUGUGUCCCUAGUCACAGUGAAUGACCCUCCAGCUUGAGACUCCCACACAUACUGUUCAUCAUCGUUGUGCUUUGUGGUAACAAUAACCUUCUCGGCAACAAGGUAGGCAGAGUAGAAACCAACACCAAACUGUCCAAUCAUGCUCACAUCAGCACCAGCAGCUAUGGCUUCCAUGAAUUCCUUGGUACCAGACCUAGCAAUGGUACCUAGGUUGUUCACCAAAUCUGGAACAAAAAUACAUAGAAAUAUUAGUAAACAACAUAAAAUAUCACACGACACAGUGCUGCUACAUAAACCAAUUUCAGGCUAAGAAAAGGGAGAAAAAAAAAGCAUAUUAACUUACCAGCUUUGGUCAUUCCAAUCCCACUAUCAAUGAUAGUCAAAGUGUUGUUGGUCUUGUCAGGAAUAAUGUGAAUGAACAACUCUGGCUGAGAAUCAAGCUUGCUCUUGUCGGUCAAGCCCUCAAACCGAAUCUUAUCCAAAGCCUACAUUACAAAAUUCCAGCACAUAAUCAGAACAAUAUUCAUACCCACAACAGAAAAUCAUCUAUCACAUUAAUCAUUCAUAAAAUCGAAUCCUAACAAUCCAAAGUAAUAGUAACAAUUAUACUUCUAGAAACAAGGAUUUCUAGUCACAAACAACUUCAAUUUGAAAAUUAAAGGAUCAACAAACCUUCCAUUCAAAAAUUAAAGAGUUGAUUAUGAUUAACAUAGAUUACUUGUCACAUACAACUUUCAUUCAAAGACUAAAGUGCCGAUUAUAUCAAUAACAUUACAUAGUAUAUGAUUAAAUGAAAACAUUACACAGUAACAAAUAGAUCACAUAAUCAAGGUUGUUAUCAAUACAAACGGGACUAAUUAAAAAUUUAAUUUCAAUUUAGGUAUUUCAAGUAUCACUCUAAUAUGAAUCAACGAUAGAACAAUCAUCACAAUUUAACUUUAAAUUAAAAUCAAUGAAACCUAAACAUGACUAACAAAUCAUCACUGUUAAUCAUAAUCAACCAUCAUAAUCAUCACUGUUAAACAACAACGGAAAAAUCACAAAGAUCCUAAACAACGCCACCAACCAAAACCCUAGGAGUAUAUAAUCAAUUAACAUAAACCCUAAAAUUGAAAAAAUAAUCCAAUUAAAACGAUAACAAAAGAAAUCAUCAAAAUCAUAAUAAAAUAGAACCUAAACUAGAUCGAACCCUAAUAAAGAUAAAAAAUAAAAUAAAAAAGCAAAAAAAAAAAACGAAGAGGAAGAAGCUUACAUCGGAAGCGUUGCUGAUGAGUUCACGAAGAAAAAUCUCCUUGUUGCUGUAAAAAGUAUUGAUGAUGAGACUAAGAAGUUGAUUGAUCUCAGCCUGGAAAGCGAACGUCUCUUGUUCCGCCAUUGCCGAUCUGGUUUUUCUAGAGAGAGAAAGCGUUUGUCGUAGAGAGAGAGAGAGUGAACGAGUUUUGCAGAGUGUGAAGUGAGUGAGUUGUUAUAUAAUAAGUGUUUGCUAGGGUUUCUCGUUUUCUAGAUCCUUCUAUUUCUAUAUUUAUAAUUAUAAAUUAAAUAACUUUAUUUGUUCAAAUAAUAACUUUAACUUAAUUGCGAUUAUUUGGGUCCACUUUACUCUCAACUUACCACUUGGAUUUUUUUUUUGAAGGAACUAACCACUUGGAUGUGAAGCGUAGACUUGGUUUUCUUCUUUUUUAUUUCUUUUUCUGUUUUAUUUACACCAAUAAUAUUUGAAGGUUGAUCGAAGAUUCUACUUGGUUUUUUCAACAAAAAAAAAAACAUUCUAGUUGGUUUUAUUCUUUUAAAUAGAUAAAUUGUUUUGCAUUUAUUUUUUAUGAAAGCAUUUGGAAAGUUUUACAAAAAUUAUAUUUUUACUCCUUUCACAAAAAAAUUAUUUUUUUUUACUAUUUAUUUAGACUAAAAUACACUUUUUACCCUAAAGGUUUUUAAAACUAACGAUUUUGGUCCUCUUAUUUUGAACCUGUACCCUUUUUCAAAGCCAAUUUUGCAAAAUUGUGGUCCUCCCUAAUUUUGAAUUAAUCAGAGCAUGUUUGACACAUUUUUUCCUAAACCAAGUAUCAUCCAAGUCAUCUAUGUGAGUUUUGACACACAAAAAAAAGAGGUCUCAUGCGAUAUUUGUUGUAUAACGGGCAAAUCUACAUUGUUUAUCUUCUUCUCCAUAAAAUAGGGAUUGCUCCUUCAUCUUCCACAUCCAACUCUUUAUUGUUUCUUCUUCUUCUUCAUUCAUUCGUUCUUCCCUUUUUCAUCAAUCUCCAUUGUUUUUUUUUUUUUACUAUAAAAUAGGGAUUGGUCCUCUUAUUUCCUCUUGUUUUAUUUUUCAUAUAUAUCUCCAAAAACCGAAUCUUUUUUUUUUUUUUUGCAUAAAUAUGUCAAUAAACUCAUCCAAUUAAUUAUUUAAGUCUCUUUUGAUAUUACUGUGUGUGUAUAUAUAUAUAUUUACAGGGAUGGACAUACUCUUUAUAUUUAUACAUUCAAUUUCCAUCCAACUUUAUUUGGUGGUGUCUGGGGUUCGAACCCCAGACCUUGCAUAUACUAUGCAUUGUCCUUACCAACUGAGAUAAACUCACGGAGACUUCCAUCCAAUUGUUUGUUUCUUUAUUGUCUCUAAUUAUUCAACUUUUAUAGUUUAUACAUAUAAUAAAUUGGUUUAAUAGUAGUUUUGGCCCCCUAAGUAUUAGAAAGUUGCAAUUUUGAACCCCUAGCAAAAAUAAAAUAUAAAAUUGCCCCCUAAGUAUUGCCCCUUUUGCAGUUUUGGCCCCCCAAACCAAUGUUGACCAAGUCAGAGUUGACAUGGACAUCACGUGUGUAUUUUUUUUUAAUUAUUAAAAAAAUUAUUAUUUUUAAUUAAAAAAAUAAAAUAUUUUUUAAUUAAAAAAAAAAUACACAUGUGGCAUCCACGUGUGCAUUGACUUUUCAAAAUUGGUCUGGGGCCAAAACUGCAAAAGGGGCAAUACUUUAGGGAGCGGUUUUGUAUUUUAAUUUGUUAGGGGGCUAAAAUCGCAACUUCUUGAAACAUAGGCGCCAAAACUAAUGUUAAGCCAACAAAUCAAACUAAUUAUAAUUCGAAGUCGACUAUGCAUCCAUCAACUUCAUCUAUAUUAUUUACAAUUUGUCCUCGUGAGCUUAGCUCACUUGGUAAGAACAAUGCAUAUGCAAGGUUUGGGGUUCAAUCCUCGACCACCACAAUAAAAAAAAUCUACAAUUUUAAUUUUCUUUUUUGGUCAAGAAUUUUAAAUUUUUUUUAAUAAAACGAAUUAUCAACAUAUCCAUUUUUAUAGGGUUUUUUUUAGUCAUUCAAUUCAUAUGUUCUAUAUAUAACAAAUUAACUCACUAUCUCUAAAAAAACAAAUUAAUGAAUCAACCACUUUUGAAUCAUGCACUUUUAUACGGUGACCAAUCAUCUAUUUUUUAUGUUGAACAAUUAUAUGUACACACACUAACAUUGAGACAGACAAUGCUAGAUUAUUUUUUUUGCGCUAAUGCAUAUAAAUUAGGAAAAAUAGUUAUUAUAAAAUUUUAAUUAAAAUUAUUUUUAUUUUGAUUAAAAUAUAUGUUGACAUUUUGCGCUUUUUUAUUAUAACAAACUAUACUUAUAUUUUACAAUGACACCAACAAUAUAAGAAUUAUAAUAUAAAUUCUUAUUUUUUUUUAAUAAUACCAUAAAUAUAACAUUCUCAUAGAGGUAGAUUUAUUUAAGAGUAUAAUUAAAGGUGAAAAAACCACCGUAAAACAUUUAUUCCCUUUCCGUAGUAACUGUAUAAAUUAUUCUAUAACUCAAAUUUUAUUUAUCAUAUUUAUUUUCAUAAAAACAAUAAAAAAAAACCAACUAUACUAAUUUAAGAUUUAUAUAUAAUUAUUUAUAUUUUUCUCCAAUUUAUCUAUUUUAUUAGUUAACAUAUCUAUAUAUAUAUUAAUGUAAGACUCACUCAAAAAAAAAUUAAAGUAAGAUUAUUCAAUUUAAAGAAAUUCACUUUUAGCAUCUCUUAUUUUUUCAAAUUCACUUCAUUUCCCUUUUAUGCAUUCAAAUUCUCUUCAAUUUCGCUUUUAUAUAUUUAACAUAAAUAUAGCAACAAAUUAUAUCUGAUUUUGUUUUACAUAAAAAUCUCAAUAAACGAUGUAUAUUAAUUUGAUUUUAUCCAUUAAAUAUAUAAUUUAAUUUUUUAAUUCAUUUUUAAUAAGAAUCAAAAUUAAAUUUUACUUAAAUUUACUAAAACACACGAAAGAGAGCUUGAGAAGGAUUCAAGGAUUCAGGGACUCUCUCCUGUUAGCAAAAGGAACAAUGUCUUGGUUGCACGUUUCACUGCAUCAUAACAAUUACAGGAUGAUCUUCAAGGUCCAAUAACAGGUGUAGAUAUAGCUCAAGGUCCAAAUCAAGGAGGUAUAGACGUGGUAGUGGUUCUUCAACAACUUGAUGAUCAUAUUGAUCAUAUCCAAGGUCCAAUUCAAAAAGGUGUAGAGAUUGAUCAAGUAUCGGUGGCUCUUCAAGACUAUGCGCGUACAAGGACACUUGCUCAGAUAUUUGGUUAUAGCAAAAAUGUUGAGCAUGGAGAUUUCAUGAACUAUUCCAAGACGACAACAAUGAGUUGAUUUCGAUAUGUUUUGUUCACAAUUUUGCUGAAAAUGCAGAAUUGCUGAAGACUAUUCCAUAGAAUUUAGUUGAUUUCGAUACGUUUUGUUCACAAUUAAUCAGUAUUUUUUUUUUUUACAGGUACGUAGCCAUUAACUAAAUCAACAUUACCUAACUGUCACCCUUGUUUUCAGUAUUAUUUUUUGGCUUUCGUUGUCUUGUAUCAAAAUGUAUGGUGUUUCCUUAUUUUUAUGAAUGUCUAAAGCAAAUUACAACUUUUAAUAUAGUUCUUAAGUUACAUUUAGAAUUUCAACAAUUAAAACAAUGAAAUAUCGCCUUAACAGAACAUCUUGAUAUUGUUGUUCCUAUCUAGACGAACCUUGUUUUGCUACGCGCUUGUGCCUUUUUCCUUGAUUGAUGAUAUAAAAAUUCAACAUGUCUUGAAUUGCUAGGGGCGUUCAUUAUGCAUAAUUGUGUUAUAAAUUGCUAACACUUAUCAAAUUAUCGUGAUAUAAAAAUUCAAAAAGAAAGUAAUAGAUGUAAAAUAUUUACAAAUUACAAGUAGUAGCAUCUGAAGAGUACAACAGGGACACAACUAUUAUCUAGUGUACGUGCCUGCAUUGGCAGGCUGCCACAACAAAUGUGUCAGUAGGGUUAAACCAACAAACCUUCCUUGAAUUUGGAUUCCCAACUGGUAUGUCAAGCACAUCGGAGAAUUCCAGCAACUUCUCUUUAUUACGUUGGUCAAAAAAUAUCUUUACUUUAAUCAUUUGCUUUUCCUGCAGUAACGAUAUUUGGUUUUAGAAGCUUAAAAAGAGAAGUGGUUAAUUAUGCAUAAAAGCAAGCAACCAUUCAUUGUUAUAUAUGACUUACUUGCAAGUUACAAGCAUGCCUCAUUUUCAUGCUACAUAAAACCAGAAAACCUUUAAAUUUUACUUAGUCGCAGCUGCCUGCGAAAUACUUGGUAAAAGAUUAGCUAAAUAGAAGCAUAAUAACAUCUGUUUGACCAAUUAAUUUCAUUAUUCCAAGUAAGUGUAACGUGAAAUGAAAAAUAAGUGGUAUAAUGCAAGAGGAUUGUUCGUGAAUGUGAAGUAGGAUAUCCCUUUCCUCUCCUACCAAAGAGGAUUUUAUGGAGCAAUUUAAGAGUAUAAUCAAUCUUCUUUCCGGAUAAUUUAAGUACCACUGAAGCAUAAAAUACAAGAGUCAUAAAAAUUACUAGCUGCUACGAUGCAAAAACAUGUAUCUAAGGCAUAAAGUGCGUUAUAAACAUGAACAUGAAAAAUUAUAAGAGAAAAUUCAUAUCACACAAUUAAGGGUAACUAUGAAUCUGAGGUGAAUACCUUUUCAAUUUGAAAUUAUUAGGAUGCAUCUAUGUCAUAUGAUUUCUACCAACCUCGAAAUUGAUUUCCUUUCACGUAGAGGACAAUUGGUUGUAGGAGUUGUUGACUCUGUCUCCUUCAGUUCCUUUAUUUUCUUUUUCACCUCCUAAUGGUCAUUUCCCCUCCCGCACUUUUUUAAUCCUUUCUCAACUUCGAUAUCUUCAGAACCAUCGUCAUUUGACUUAUCGUCAACCUUAUCCUUACCAUCCAACCCCUAUUCUCGGCUUUUCUUUUCUCCUUUUCACAGUUCUUAUGUUUGACUUCAGGAAUAUCCUCUAUCCUCUAUCUCCUUUUGUUCCUUCGUUUUCCUUUUUCACCUUCCACCCUUCAACCUUUCCUUUCCUACAUUUUUCAAAUCCUUCCUCCACUUUGACAUCUUCAUUUGUCCAAUGUUGUAUGCAGAGCAGCUGUAGUUCCUUUGAAUUAUCAGUGAAAGAUUAGGGCUUACAAUGUACUUGUAUUUAAAUAUUGUGAUCCAUACUACAUUACCCCUGAAUCAUACUGCAGGGGCAGCCACAAUCCCCCACAAGAACCAUUUGGGUCAAGCCCAAGGGCAGGUCGAACAAGCAGAAAGGUCUCACCCGCUUCGCUCUUUCAACCUUGCCCACUUGCAAGAACCUAUGAGUCAUACUCAACAAAACAAGAUUAAGACCAUCCUCCAGCUAGAGUAGUGGAAUAACACAACUAUGAAAGAUACAAAACAAGAUUAUACAUACACUCCUAAAAAUAUAUUGUGACAAAUAAAAUUUGACGUUAUAGGAAAAUCAUACCUUAUUUUUUUUUGAGUUGUUAUUGAUAAAAGACACUAUAUACAUCUAUCUUUUACUUACUUUUUAUCUUAUACACCAUACAGAAAUUUGGAUAUACAUAAACAAGAAAAUAAAGAGACACUAUUUCGUGUCAGUUUUUGAUAUUCAAAUAUCAUUACUCUUUUAUUUUACAUCUAUGACAUUCUUUGACAUCCGCUUUGAUGCGUUGAGGAGGGACAUCACCACAACAUUUCCAAUCACAAAGCUUAAGUUUAAGUUUUUCUUUUUUGAUGAGAGAAGAUUAGGUAUCAUUUACUUGACCAUUUAUGUAAAAAUGGAUAUUGCAUUUGUUACUUUUCUUUCAUGACAAUAUAUGGUUUUGUAGUCAAGACUUCUUGAAGCGAUAUGAAUAUUACAUAUUUUUAGAAUAUUUUUACACAAACAACUUGUCACAUUUCAAUAAUCAAAUGGGAAACAAUGCAAUUAGAUAUAAAUCAAACACUUAAGAUUAACCAUAUUUAUAGGCCACUCCUGCUAACUCAGAGGACACAACAAAAUAGUUUGGGCAAAUUCCAAAAACAAUACCUCUCACAAUAAAAUCAAAACGUGCAACUCAAAAAAGCAUUAAAAUUAUCAAUCGCAGUCAAAGAGUGUUAAUCUGAGCUACUCUUCUCCGCAUAUACUCCAAAACCGUUUCCAAUGGCUGAAGAGAGUACGUAAUUUGGCUCUUCAAAAAUGGAGAAAUUACACUGAUCUCCCAUGAAGUCUCUUUGGAGGACACAAACAUGACUUAAAAAAAAUGUUAUUUUUCUGUUUCGGUUUCUAUUGAUGAUGAUAAUCUUCAUCCACUAAACUUAAAUUUCUGCCAUUUUUUGCAAGUUUCUCUUUAUUUCAAAUUUCAACUAUCAUAACUCGCUGCUUUCAUUGAAGAAUACCCAAAAAAAGCCAGACUAUUAACUUCUGUCUGAACAAUGUAAUUUUUUUUUUUCGCAUAGCAAUACAGCCUACAGGGUAUUUGUUAUUAUGUCUGAACAGUGUCUAACGCAAGAGUGUCUACUGUAUUUCAUAAGUUGUUGGAUUUAAUGGAUUAUGGCUAGAAAAAAAAACAAUAAUCCCUCCAUUUAUCACUUUUGAAGAAUAAUUUUGUUUCAAUUUACCUGUCACUUUUAUAUUUCAAUGCAAUAUUAAGAAGAAUAAAAUGAGAACGGAAUUUAUCCAACGAGAACCAAAGAAAAAGACUUGUGCUUUACGUCUUUUGUGUUGGAACUUGGAAUGUUGGGUGUUGAGUGUAGAGAAGGUAAAUCAGAUCAUUAGUUUUUCUUUUUAUAAAAAUAAUUUGAUAGAAAACGGUGUCAAACAUUAGAGAAAAUCACCGUAAAAUAACUUAGAGGGAUGUUCGUGUCGUUUAAAUAGACCUUCAAAAAAUAUGAGCGUAUUUUUCCCUUAAAAAAAAUUCCAAUCAUAAUGUCUUAAAACACAUCACCUUUCAUCUCUAUUUUUCAGAUCUAUUUUCACCGUUAUUUGUGAAAUAAAGUCCGCAUUAAAAACGAAUAAAAGAUAUAAAUCCAUAAAUCAAAAAUUGGCAUACCAACACUAUAAUGAUGUUUCUACCAACAAAAACACUAUAUCGUUUAUUUCUUUAAGACUAACUUUUUGGUUCGAUAAAUUGAUAAGAUAGAUAUUUAGUACUUCUCUAAAAUAAUCAAUAACCAAUGAGUUGUUUUUUUUUUCUUUCAGAGAUGAAUGAAAGGAAGAAACAAAUGACGGAAUGUAAUAAUAAAAUAAAGAAAAAUGAUAUUAGAACAAUCAUUUUCUACAACUUUUUUGACAACUUUCUCUCUCAUAUUUACAUUAUCUUUUUACUUUUUCUCUCUAUUCCUUUGAUCUUUGUGUCACUACCAUUUCCUUUAUAAAAUUUUGACUGUCAUAAAAGUUGACACAUAUAUCGAUGUUCAAAUAACACAACUUUAAACUAAACAAAAACGUACCUUUACAGCAAAAAAAACACCUUAAAAACAAUAACUAAUAAGGAAGUUAAAAUAUACUUGUAAAUUGGCCAGUUAUAUACGAACGCAUUCUUCAGCUUCGCUUCACCGGUCCAGAAAAUAAAGUAUGAGCACAGAAGCACGAAUUUGUAUCAAAAUAUAAAAGGACACACCAACGAUUGUCAACAAUUGACACACCAAAAGUUACGAUACGUAAACAAUAGCUACGCUGGUCCAGAAAAUUGCAUCUAAUAAAUUCCAAAAUUCAAAAUUAAAGAAAAAACAUGAUAAAAAUACUGUUUCUCAACCUCACGCCUUCCUAAACAAUAGCAUCUAUUUCAAAAUUAAUCGACCUCUUCCAUCUUGCUACCCUCUGCAUCAGCAUCAGCUUCCUCCAAUGGUGGCAUGUCAGCAUCAGCUUCUGCUGCAUCCUCAUCAAUGCUAAGUCCAAGCUUGAGCAUCCUGUGAAUCCUGUUGCCAAAGGUGUUGGGCUCAUCAAGGCUGAAUCCAGAGGUAAGAAGAGCAGUCUCAAACAGCAAGAGGACAAGAUCCUUCACAGAUUUGUCAUUCCUAUCAGCAUCAGCACGUUUCCUCAGCUCCUCCAUAAUGGGAUUCUCAG